GACGAACGCUGGCGGCGUGCUUAACACAUGCAAGUCGUACGGUAAGGCCCUUUCGGGGGUACACGAGUGGCGAACGGGGGAGUAACACGUGAGUAACCUGCCCACAACUUUGGGAUAACGCUAGGAAACUGGUGCUAAUACUGGAUAUGUGCUCCUGCUGCAUGGUGGGGGUUGGAAAGCUCCGGCGGUUGUGGAUGGACUCGCGGCCUAUCAGCUUGUUGGUGGGGUAGUGGCCUACCAAGGCGGCGACGGGUAGCCGGCCUGAGAGGGUGACCGGCCACAUUGGGACUGACAGACGGCCCAGGCUCCUACGGGAGGCAGCAGUGGGGAAGAUUGCCCAAUUGGCGCAAGCCUGAUGCAGCAACGCCGCGUGCGGGAUGACGGCCUUCGGGUUGUAAACCGCGUUCAGCAGGGACGAAGCUUUUUGUGACGGUACCUGCAGAAGAAGCACCGGCUAACUACGUG
Molecule: ribosomal RNA, 465 nt
Filed under: uncultured bacterium
Lineage: Bacteria
Description: partial 16S ribosomal RNA
Rfam family: Bacterial small subunit ribosomal RNA
Source: RNAcentral